CGUUGCAAUUGGCUUCAUUUGGCCAGGCCAAGGUGAUCAGAAGGUCCUGACUUCCUUGCCCAGAAGCCUUAGGACUGGGAUGGAUGUUGGCAAGGCCUGGGGAUUCUAAUGCUAAGAUUUAAACUGGAAGCAGAGCUGAGUUCAGGGAGCUAACAGGAAGUAGAAAAACAGGUGUGGGAAUCCAUUUCCCAGAAUCCUCUGGGUGAAUGAUUUUAAAAAAUGGGCAGGGGGCUUUAAGUUCAAGAAUGCCUUUCUUUCCCUUUUUCUGGCUUAUACUCUGCCUGCCUUGCUGUGGAGCUACCCUGAUAGCCUCGUGGGAGGACCUUUCAAUAUUUGAAUAAGGUAUAACGUUAGACCACAACAACUCAAAAAAGACUGUAUAUCAAGCAGUGACCAGAAUGAGAGAAACACGGACCUGCGGGCAGCUGAGUCGCCAAAGGGCGACCCUCGUGAUCCCCCCAGCCCACCUCAGAAUUUCCCCAACAAGGUUCAGAGCCUGGAGAGAAAGUCCA
Molecule: long non-coding RNA, 512 nt
Filed under: Ornithorhynchus anatinus (platypus)
Lineage: Eukaryota; Metazoa; Chordata; Mammalia; Monotremata; Ornithorhynchidae
Description: lncRNA (ENSOANG00000048731.1)
Source: RNAcentral